Molecule: long non-coding RNA, 601 nt
Organism: Antechinus flavipes (yellow-footed antechinus)
Lineage: Eukaryota; Metazoa; Chordata; Mammalia; Dasyuromorphia; Dasyuridae
Exons: 2
Source: RefSeq, a predicted model, not a curated record
UUGGAGGGGGGGGACUGACAGUCGGCGGCGCUGCUGGGGGUUGGGGUAUCCCCGGGGGUCUCCCCCCUUUCUCCUCCCUUGAGAGCUGCAGCCACCCCCGCAACGUGUCAGGGCCCGGCACUGCCGCUAUUGCCGCUGGAGCCGAAGCCGGAGUCCCCGGCCUCCUGGGAGAGCUCAGGGGCCGGCGCUGCGGGGCACUGAUCGUGCGGCUGGAGAAGGAGCUCGGCGUGCUGGGACCCCGCAUUGGGAAGCAGUGUGUGCGCCCCGCGUCAGCCGGAGCGCAUUCUCCCGCUCUGGUACUCUACACAGACAAGGUGGUCGUUUCCUGUUCUCUUACUACUCCAGCCCGGAUCUGCCUCGGGAAUCCCCCAGUACUCUUUGGCACACAUCUCCCAUCCCCCAACUGGUGGAAGGUCCGGAGGCUGGUAAAAGGCGCACUUUUCCUCGGGCCCGCGUUUACCUCCUUCUCCAUCGAUGUGUGUGCUCUGCAUGUCUGAUUUGGUUGCGUUAUAUUUGGGUAAUAACCCUCUGUUCGGCGAUAUGCAGGCAGUUGCUGCAGGACAUGACUCCCAGGAUAAAUAAAUGGCAAGUGAAUAAUUUC